GAGGGUGUAGCUCAGUGGUAGAGCGCAUGCUUAGCAUGCACGAGGUCCUGGGUUCAAUCCCCAGUAACUCCA
RNAcentral lists this transfer RNA (72 nucleotides) under Camelus bactrianus (Bactrian camel). It matches the Rfam family "tRNA". From Rfam's summary of the family: Transfer RNA (tRNA) molecules are approximately 80 nucleotides in length. Their secondary structure includes four short double-helical elements and three loops (D, anti-codon, and T loops). RNAcentral also lists the same sequence under 2 other names. Lineage: Eukaryota; Metazoa; Chordata; Mammalia; Artiodactyla; Camelidae. The record is from Rfam by way of RNAcentral.